UUGCCCAGAUCUGAUAAAAAAUCAGUUAUUUUCUUAUUAUCAAGGUCGGAUUCAUUCUCAACCAUCCGAUCGUGCUCUAGAUUGAAUUCUGGCCAUCGGAUGGCGCAAAAUCUCUCCUUAACAAAGUUGGGACGAACAGCAACCGUUGGAUCGAGCGAUGGAUAGAAUCUGGGCCGUCGGAUUGUGCUCAAAAAUCUUAUUCAAAAUUGGAA
This 212-nucleotide long non-coding RNA is filed under the name Elaeis guineensis (African oil palm). Its description in RNAcentral is "long non-coding RNA (EGUI_LNC029363)". Lineage: Eukaryota; Viridiplantae; Streptophyta; Magnoliopsida; Arecales; Arecaceae. The record is from RNAcentral.